RNAcentral lists this ribosomal RNA (451 nucleotides) under uncultured bacterium. RNAcentral's name for it is "bacterial SSU rRNA". It matches the Rfam family "Bacterial small subunit ribosomal RNA", at positions 29 to 524 of the family's 1533-position model. The record is from RNAcentral.
AGCGAACGCUGGCGGCAGGCUUAACACAUGCAAGUCGAGCGGGCGUAGCAAUACGUCAGCGGCAGACGGGUGAGUAACGCGUGGGAACGUACCUUUUGGUUCGGAACAACCCAGGGAAACUUGGGCUAAUACCGGAUAAGCCCUUACGGGGAAAGAUUUAUCGCCGAAAGAUCGGCCCGCGUCUGAUUAGCUAGUUGGUGAGGUAACGGCUCACCAAGGCGACGAUCAGUAGCUGGUCUGAGAGGAUGAUCAGCCACAUUGGGACUGAGACACGGCCCAAACUCCUACGGGAGGCAGCAGUGGGGAAUAUUGGACAAUGGGCGCAAGCCUGAUCCAGCCAUGCCGCGUGAGUGAUGAAGCCCUAGGGUUGUAAAGCUCUUUUGUGCGGGAAGAUAAUGACGGUACCGCAAGAAUAAGCCCCGGCUAACUUCGUGCCAGCAGCCGCGGUAAU